RNAcentral lists this ribosomal RNA (726 nucleotides) under uncultured bacterium. RNAcentral's name for it is "bacterial SSU rRNA". It matches the Rfam family "Bacterial small subunit ribosomal RNA", at positions 777 to 1500 of the family's 1533-position model. The record is from RNAcentral.
AUUAGAUACCCUGGGUAGUCCACGCUGUAAACGAUCGAUACUAGGUGUGCGGGGACUGACCCCCUGCGUGCCGCAGUUAACACAAUAAGUAUCGCACCUGGGGAGUACGAUCGCAAGGUUGAAACUCAAAGGAAUUGACGGGGGCCCGCACAAGCGGUGGAUUAUGUGGUUUAAUUCGAAGCAACGCGAAGAACCUUACCAGGGCUUGACAUGGGAGUGACCGCUCUAGAGAUAGGGCUUUCCCUUCGGGGACACUCCACACAGGUGGUGCAUGGUUGUCGUCAGCUCGUGUCGUGAGAUGUUGGGUUAAGUCCCGCAACGAGCGCAACCCCUAUCCUUAGUAGCCAGCGAGAAAGACGGGCACUCUAGGGAGACUGCCGGGGAUAACCCGGAGGAAGGUGGGGAUGACGUCAAAUCAUCAUGCCCCUUAUGUUCUGGGCUACACACGUGCUACAAUGGCGUAAACAAAGGGAAGCGAAGGCGUGAGCGUAAGCAAAACCCAAAAAUAACGUCCCAGUUCGGAUUGUAGUCUGCAACCCGACUACAUGAAGCUGGAAUCGCUAGUAAUCGCGGAUCAGAAUGCCGCGGUGAAUACGUUCCCGGGUCUUGUACACACCGCCCGUCACACCAUGGGAGUCGGAAAUGCCCGAAGUCGGUGACCGAACCGAAAGGAAGGAGCCGCCGAAGGCAGGUCUGGUGACUGGGGUGAAGUCGUAACAAGGUACC